This 224-nucleotide long non-coding RNA is filed under the name Brassica napus (rape). RNAcentral's name for it is "long non-coding RNA (BNAP_LNC009305)". The record is from RNAcentral. Lineage: Eukaryota; Viridiplantae; Streptophyta; Magnoliopsida; Brassicales; Brassicaceae.
AGAGUUAGCCUUGGCUUUGGCAUUUCCUCGCUCAAUCUCAUAAGAGAAGAAAUCUCUAUGCCCCCUGUUCUUGGUUUUCUCCCAUGCUUUUGUUGGUCAACAACCAACCACAACUUUCUAUAGUUCUUCACUACUCCUAGAGGCUUGACGGAGUGAAGCUGUCCCCUGUCAUUCAGUGAAAAUCUAGUGAGUAAGGUAAGGGGGUACGGAAACGUCCUCUUAUC